This 254-nucleotide unclassified non-coding RNA is filed under the name Ascomycota sp. RNAcentral's name for it is "partial contains small subunit ribosomal RNA, internal transcribed spacer 1, and 5.8S ribosomal RNA". The stretch from base 1 to 47 matches the Rfam family "Eukaryotic small subunit ribosomal RNA", at positions 1785 to 1831 of the family's 1831-position model. Lineage: Eukaryota; Fungi; Ascomycota. The record is from RNAcentral.
AAAGUCGUAACAAGGUUUCCGUAGGUGAACCUGCGGAAGGAUCAUUAUCGAGUUAGGGUCCUCGCGGCCCGACCUCCAACCCUAUGUUUAAUCACCACGUUGCUUUGGCGGGCCCGCUUCGUCGCCGCCGGAGGCCCUCGCGUCUCUGGCCAGCGCCCGCCAACGGCCCCAUCACAAACUCUGGACAAUGCCGUGACGUUCUUAGUUAAAGAAAUAACAGUGAAAAACUUUCAACAACGGAUCUCUUGGUUCUG